RNAcentral lists this ribosomal RNA (468 nucleotides) under uncultured bacterium. RNAcentral's name for it is "partial 16S ribosomal RNA". It matches the Rfam family "Bacterial small subunit ribosomal RNA", at positions 28 to 507 of the family's 1533-position model. The record is from RNAcentral.
GACGAACGCUGGCGGCGUGCUUAACACAUGCAAGUCGAACGGAAAGGCCCUGCUUUUGUGGGGUGCUCGAGUGGCGAACGGGUGAGUAACACGUGAGUAACCUGCCCUUGACUUUGGGAUAACUUCAGGAAACUGGGGCUAAUACCGGAUAGGAGCUCCUGCUGCAUGGUGGGGGUUGGAAAGUUUCGGCGGUUGGGGAUGGACUCGCGGCUUAUCAGCUUGUUGGUGGGGUAGUGGCUUACCAAGGCUUUGACGGGUAGCCGGCCUGAGAGGGUGACCGGCCACAUUGGGACUGAGAUACGACCCAGACUCCUACGGGAGGCAGCAGUGGAGAAUAUUGCACAAUGGGCGGAAGCCUGAUGCAGCAACGCCGCGUGCGGGAUGACGGCCUUCGGGUUGUAAACCGCUUUCGCCUGUGACGAAGCGUGAGUGACGGUAAUGGGUAAAGAAGCACCGGCUAACUACGUG